This 354-nucleotide ribosomal RNA is filed under the name uncultured bacterium. RNAcentral's name for it is "bacterial SSU rRNA". It matches the Rfam family "Bacterial small subunit ribosomal RNA", at positions 976 to 1325 of the family's 1533-position model. The record is from RNAcentral.
AGCCCUUGACAUGGGUAUCGCGGGUUCCGGAGACGGAGCCUUUCAGUUCGGCUGGAUACCGCACAGGUGCUGCAUGGCUGUCGUCAGCUCGUGUCGUGAGAUGUUGAGUUAAGUCCCGCAACGAGCGCAACCCUCAUCCUUAGUUGCCAUCAGGUUUGGCUGGGCACUCUAAGGAAACUGCCGGUGACAAGCCGGAGGAAGGCGGGGAUGACGUCAAGUCCUCAUGGCCCUUAUGGGCUGGGCUACACACGUGCUACAAUGGCGAUUACAAUGGGCAGCGAAGGGGCGACCUGGAGCGAAUCCCCAAAAAUCGUCUCAGUUCGGAUUGCACUCUGCAACUCGAGUGCAUGAAGG